Molecule: ribosomal RNA, 450 nt
Filed under: uncultured soil bacterium
Lineage: Bacteria
Description: bacterial SSU rRNA
Rfam family: Bacterial small subunit ribosomal RNA
Source: RNAcentral
GAAUUCGAUUAACGCGAAAAACCUUACCCAGGCUUGAACUGCAGAGGACACUCUACGAAAGUAGACUUCCGCAAGGACCUCUGUAGAGGUGCUGCAUGGCUGUCGUCAGCUCGUGUCGUGAGAUGUUGGGUUAAGUCCCGCAACGAGCGCAACCCUUGUCUUCUGUUGCCAUCAGGUUAAGCUGGGCACUCUGAAGAGACUGCCGGUGACAAACCGGAGGAAGGUGGGGAUGACGUCAAGUCAGCAUGGCCUUUAUGUCUGGGGCCACACACGUGCUACAAUGGCAGGUACAAACCGUCGCGAGACCGCAAGGUGGAGCUAAUCGGAUAAAGCCUGUCUCAGUUCGGAUUGUCGGCUGCAACUCGCCGGCAUGAAGUUGGAAUCGCUAGUAAUCGCGGAUCAGCACGCCGCGGUGAAUACGUUCCCGGGCCUUGUCACACCGAAUCACUA